CCCUUAGACGUUCUGGGCCGCACGCGCGCUACACUGACGGAGCCAGCGAGUAUAAACCUUGGCCGAGAGGUCUGGGAAAUCUUGUGAAACUCCGUCGUGCUGGGGAUAGAGCAUUGUAAUUAUUGCUCUUCAACGAGGAAUUCCUAGUAAGCGCAAGUCAUCAGCUUGCGUUGAUUACGUCCCUGCCCUUUGUACACACCGCCCGUCGCUACUACCGAUUGAAUGGCUUAGUGAGGCUUCCGGAUUGGUUUAGAGAAGUGGGCAACUCCAUCUUGGAACCGAGAAGCUAGUCAAACUUGGUCAUUUAGAGGAAGUAAAAGUCGUAACA
Molecule: ribosomal RNA, 328 nt
Filed under: uncultured eukaryote
Lineage: Eukaryota
Description: partial 18S ribosomal RNA
Rfam family: Eukaryotic small subunit ribosomal RNA
Source: RNAcentral